Molecule: unclassified non-coding RNA, 281 nt
Filed under: uncultured fungus
Lineage: Eukaryota; Fungi
Description: partial contains small subunit ribosomal RNA, internal transcribed spacer 1, and 5.8S ribosomal RNA
Rfam family: Eukaryotic small subunit ribosomal RNA (bases 1-73)
Source: RNAcentral
CCAAACUUGGUCAUUUAGAGGAAGUAAAAGUCGUAACAAGGUUUCCGUAGGUGAACCUGCGGAAGGAUCAUUAAUAGGCUUUGUCGAGUCUUGGAUAUCUCUUCCUUCGACUCGACAUCCUGAUCAUUCCUAUGUGCACUUAUUGAAGAAUGCUUUGGUAGGUCGUAAGACUUGCCAAAAGUUUUUUCUAUCGACUUAUUUUUUGUCUGAAAUAUAAUAUUUAAUCAAAUACAACUUUCAACAACGGAUCUCUUGGCUCUCGCAUCAAUGAAGAACGCAGC